CCUACGGGAGGCAGCAGUGGGGAAUAUUGGACAAUGGGCGAAAGCCUGAUCCAGCCAUGCCGCGUGUGUGAAGAAGGCCUUCGGGUUGUAAAGCACUUUCAGUGGGGAAGAAAGCCUUGUGGCUAAUACCCUCGAGGAAGGACAUCACCCACAGAAGAAGCACCGGCUAACUCCGUGCCAGCAGCCGCGGUAAUACGGAGGGUGCGAGCGUUAAUCGGAAUUACUGGGCGUAAAGCGCGCGUAGGCGGUCUGAUAAGCCGGUUGUGAAAGCCCCGGGCUCAACCUGGGAACGGCAUCCGGAACUGUCAGGCUAGAGUGCAGGAGAGGAGGGUAGAAUUCCCGGUGUAGCGGUGAAAUGCGUAGAGAUCGGGAGGAAUACCAGUGGCGAAGGCGGCCUUCUGGACUGACACUGACGCUGAGGUGCGAAAGCGUGGGUAGCAAACAGGAUUAGAUACCCUAGUAGUC
Molecule: ribosomal RNA, 465 nt
Filed under: Vreelandella stevensii
Lineage: Bacteria; Pseudomonadati; Pseudomonadota; Gammaproteobacteria; Oceanospirillales; Halomonadaceae
Description: partial 16S ribosomal RNA
Rfam family: Bacterial small subunit ribosomal RNA
Source: RNAcentral